This is a long non-coding RNA of Pleuronectes platessa (European plaice), 1224 nucleotides long. RefSeq lists it as uncharacterized. Lineage: Eukaryota; Metazoa; Chordata; Actinopteri; Pleuronectiformes; Pleuronectidae. The record is from RefSeq and is a predicted model, not a curated record. The transcript is spliced from 5 exons.
AAUGCAGUUGCGGAAGUCUCUGUUUGUGGACGGUCUAAUGAAUCGGAUAACCAAAAGGACAUGUGGGGGCUUCUUAAGAACUCCAGAGCUUGAGAUAUGGCCAUAGGGGGAGUUUAUAUUUUCCGUGCAACCCUGUGGCUGCUUCCCACUAACUUGUACUGCUCCCUCUCUCUGUUGUCUGGUGGAUUUAAGCUGGUCUCAGCACUGUCAUUGGUUCCCAUCCACAUCCACCCAAACUCUUGUGUCGUGUGUUUGUGAUGAGAGAACACAUGAUGGCUCAACAACAAGUGUGUGUGUGUGUGUGUGACAGAAAGAUGUGGCACAUUUAGACGCUAUCCAAUCCGAACCCAGAGGAAUCCCUAAUUCAAGCUUCAUCCCCCGAUCACUACUGCACAGAUUCUGGUGUUCAGCAACAGAGGGAGGAAGUGGAGAUGCUUUGUCUGUCUUUCGGAACAGUCUAUGAUAGCCACCAGAAUGGUUCAAAUUCCCACAAACCACAGUGGAAGAGUCACAAAACCAGGGAAUGAUGUGAACACACCAGUGGGCCCGCAGUUAAUCUUUCUAAUUGAAUCCACAGGAGUGAAUUCCAACGGGCAAGAGGAGAGGCUGCGGGAGGGGUGAUGUCAGAGGUCAAAGGUUGUGUUAUGACCCUUGCCCGGUGAGUAGAACCCUGCUGUGCAGCAUUUGGAUGUGUGUGUGUGUGCAUCUGCGCGCAUGCGUGCAUGCGUGUUUGUGUGUGUGUGUGUGUGUGAGUGUGUGUGUGUGAGUGUGUGUGUGAGUGUUUGUAAAACAGCAAAGAGGGUAACUUGUUGAGUUACUUGUUAUGUAUUUAUGCAUAAACGGACAUUCCAGUGCAGUCACUCCGGUUAUCAUGUUUAUUAAUGAGGCUGCAGUCAUGUCUUCAUGCUGGUUCGUGGCUCGGUACAAUACACAGAUUUGAUGUCAUUGAACUCCUUUAAAGAUAACAGCCAUUCUAAAGAAAUUUAAAUAAUUUUCUCCCAUUGACGUAGAUACAAAUUCCUGUACACAGUAUCGUAAAAAAGAUGUUAUGUCUUGCUGUAAAGGUGGCGGUAGCUUGGUCAUGAUUACAUCUCGUACACUGAGAGCAAUAAGAUUUCACUGUAAGUAAAACUCUCCUCCUAAAUUACAAUCUGAACCCUGACGACCAUUUGUUAGAACAAACAUGCACAGAUGCACACUUUCUCUCUCUCUCUCUCUCUCUCU